GCGCCUGUAGCUCAGUGGAUAGAGCAUCCGCCUCCUAAGCGGAGGGUCGAGCGUUCGAAUCGCUCCAGGCGCA
This 73-nucleotide transfer RNA is filed under the name Bifidobacteriaceae bacterium. RNAcentral describes it as "tRNA-Arg". It matches the Rfam family "tRNA". From Rfam's summary of the family: Transfer RNA (tRNA) molecules are approximately 80 nucleotides in length. Their secondary structure includes four short double-helical elements and three loops (D, anti-codon, and T loops). Further hydrogen bonds mediate the characteristic L-shaped molecular structure. tRNAs have two regions of fundamental functional importance: the anti-codon, which is responsible for specific mRNA codon recognition, and the 3' end, to which the tRNAs corresponding amino acid is attached (by aminoacyl-tRNA synthetases). tRNAs cope with the degeneracy of the genetic code in two manners: having more than one tRNA (with a specific anti-codon) for a particular amino acid; and 'wobble' base-pairing, i.e. permitting non-standard base-pairing at the 3rd anti-codon position. Lineage: Bacteria; Bacillati; Actinomycetota; Actinomycetes; Bifidobacteriales; Bifidobacteriaceae. The record is from RNAcentral.